Molecule: ribosomal RNA, 1027 nt
Filed under: Flavobacterium psychrophilum
Lineage: Bacteria; Pseudomonadati; Bacteroidota; Flavobacteriia; Flavobacteriales; Flavobacteriaceae
Description: bacterial SSU rRNA
Rfam family: Bacterial small subunit ribosomal RNA
Source: RNAcentral
AAAGAUGAGCAUGCGUCCCAUUAGCUAGUUGGUAAGGUAACGGCUUACCAAGGCAACGAUGGGUAGGGGUCCUGAGAGGGAGAUCCUCCACACUGGUACUGAGACACGGACCAGACUCCUACGGGGAGGGCAGCAGUGAGGAAUAUUGGUCAAUGGGCGCAAGCCUGAACCAGCCAUGCCGCGUGCAGGAUGACGGUCCUAUGGAUUGUAAACUGCUUUUGCACAGGAAGAAACACUCGGUCGUGACCGAGCUUGACGGUACUGUGAGAAUAAGGAUCGGCUAACUCCGUGCCAGCAGCCGCGGUAAUACGGAGGAUCCAAGCGUUAUCCGGAAUCAUUGGGUUUAAAGGGUCCGUAGGCGGCCAGAUAAGUCAGUGGUGAAAGCCCAUCGCUCAACGAUGGAACGGCCAUUGAUACUGUUUGGCUUGAAUUAUUUGGAAGUAACUAGAAUAUGUAGUGUAGCGGUGAAAUGCUUAGAGAUUACAUGGAAUACCAAUUGCGAAGGCAGGUUACUACAAAUUGAUUGACGCUGAUGGACGAAAGCGUGGGUAGCGAACAGGAUUAGAUACCCUGGUAGUCCACGCCGUAAACGAUGGAUACUAGCUGUUGGGAGCAAUCUCAGUGGCUAAGCGAAAGUGAUAAGUAUCCCACCUGGGGAGUACGUUCGCAAGAAUGAAACUCAAAGGAAUUGACGGGGGCCCGCACAAGCGGUGGAGCAUGUGGUUUAAUUCGAUGAUACGCGAGGAACCUUACCAAGGCUUAAAUGUAGAUUGACCGGUUUGGAAACAGACUUUUCGCAAGACAUUUUACAAGUGCCUGCAUCGUUGUCGUCAGCUCGUGCCGUGAGGUGUCAGGUUAAGUCCUAUAACGAGCGCAACCCCUGUUGUUAGUUGCCAGCGAGUCAUGUCGGGAACUCUAGCAAGACUGCCAGUGUAAACUGUGAGGAAGGUGGGGAUGACGUCAAAUCAUCACGGCCCUUACGCCUUGGGCUACACACGUGCUACAAUGGCCGGUACAGAGAGAGAGC